AAAGAGUUAAAUAAUUACAAAAUUUAUUGUGAUAAAAUUAUUUUAAAUAAUUAUUUUGAAAUGAAAUGUUAUUCGUUUUUAAAGAUAUCUAGUUUUUUUAGAAAAAAAUUUAAUUUUAAAUUUAUUAAUUAAUAAUUUUAAUUAAAUAAUUUUUUAAUGAUAAUUUUUAUAUUUUAAGGGAUAAGCUUUAAAUUAGAUUUUUAUAAUAAUUAAUUAUUUAUUAAAAAUUUUAUAAUUUAUAUUGUUAAUAAAUUUUAUUUUAUUAAAAAUAAUUUUAAUUAAAUAUAAAAUUUAAUUUUUUAUUUAAUUUUUUAUAGAAAAAAAUAUUAUAAUAAAAAAAAUUUAGUUAUAAUGAUAAAAUUAGUAUAUUAAUUAUUAUUAAUAAUUUUAAAUUAUGAAUAAAUAAUUAAUUAAUUAAAAGGAAUUCGGCAAAUAUUUAUAUUCACCUGUUUAACAAAAACAUGUCUUUUUGAAUUUUAUUUAAAGUCUAAUCUGCCCACUGAUUUAAUUAUUAAAGGGCUGCAGUAAUUUGACUGUACAAAGGUAGCAUAAUCAUUAGUCUUUUAAUUGAUGACUGGUAUGAAAGAUUGAAUGAAAUAUAUACUGUCUCUUAAUUAAUUUAUAGAAUUUAAUUUUUUAUUUAAAAAGUUAAAAUAAAUUAAAAAGACGAGAAGACCCUAUAGAGUUUUAUAUUUAUUUUUAUAUUAAAUUAUUUUUUAUUAAAAGAUUUUUAUAAAUUUAAAUAUUUUAUUGGGGUGAUAAAAAAAUAAAUUUAACUUUUUUUAAUAUAAAACGUAAAUAAAUGAAUAUUUGAUCCAAUAUUAUUGAUUAUAAGAUUAAAUUACCUUAGGGAUAACAGCGUAAUUUUUUUUUUUAGUUCUAAUAAGAAAAAAAGUUUGCGACCUCGAUGUUGGAUUAAGAUAAAAUUUAAAUGCAAAAGUUUAAAAUUUUG
RNAcentral lists this ribosomal RNA (952 nucleotides) under Cystidia stratonice. RNAcentral's name for it is "partial 16S rRNA". Lineage: Eukaryota; Metazoa; Arthropoda; Insecta; Lepidoptera; Geometridae. The record is from RNAcentral.